GACGGGACCCGCACAAGCGUGGAUGAUGUGGAUUAAUUCGAUGCAACGCGAAAACCUUACCUACCCUUGACAUGUCCGGAAUCCCGAAGAGAUUUGGGAGUGCUCGCAAGAGAGCCGGAACACAGGUGCUGCAUGGCUGUCGUCAGCUCGUGUCGUGAGAUGUUGGGUUAAGUCCCGCAACGAGCGCAACCCUUGUCAUUAGUUGCCAUCAUUUGGUUGGGCACUCUAAUGAGACUGCCGGUGACAAACCGGAGGAAGGUGGGGAUGACGUCAAGUCCUCAUGGCCCUUAUGGGUAGGGCUUCACACGUCAUACAAUGGUCGGUACAGAGGGUUGCCAACCCGCGAGGGGGAGCUAAUCCCACAAAGCCGAUCGUAGUCCGGAUCGCAGUCUGCAACUCGACUGCGUGAAGUCGGAAUCACUAGUAAUCGUGGAUCAGCAUGUCACGGUGAAUACGUUCCCGGGUCUU
This 468-nucleotide ribosomal RNA is filed under the name uncultured Rhodocyclaceae bacterium. RNAcentral describes it as "bacterial SSU rRNA". It matches the Rfam family "Bacterial small subunit ribosomal RNA", at positions 916 to 1381 of the family's 1533-position model. Lineage: Bacteria; Pseudomonadati; Pseudomonadota; Betaproteobacteria; Rhodocyclales; Rhodocyclaceae. The record is from RNAcentral.